RNAcentral lists this small RNA (1663 nucleotides) under Oryza sativa Japonica Group (Japanese rice). RNAcentral's name for it is "sRNA Os02g0453000". The record is from RNAcentral. Lineage: Eukaryota; Viridiplantae; Streptophyta; Magnoliopsida; Poales; Poaceae.
AUCGCAAGAUCAAUUGGCGAACGGCGACGGCGGCGGCGACCUGGUGGCCAGUUGGCACCUUGUCGAUUUCCUUCCAACCUACCUUCCUUCUCCCUCUAUCUUCUCCAUCUUCCACCACUUGUAUCCCUUAGUUCAUCCUCCUUCCACCUCUAUUUACUGGAGUAUGGUUGCUAUUGUAUUGGAUGCUUGCAUAUUUGAGUGGAAUUGAGAUCAGAGGUGGCCUGGCCAGCCGAGGUCGCGACCGAUGUGCUUGCAAUCAGCGGCAAAGUGGAAGCUAGAGCAGCCGGAUGUCAGCGAGAGCAUGCACUGCCUCAAUCAUGAGCUUGCAUCGCCGAGCUUAAUUCGGAGUCUGCCAUCAACAUAGGUCAUCUUUCCUAACCAACCUCAAUUUGUUUACUUGGUCCACAUCUUUGGCUUCGUACCUCAAGUUUGAUGUAAUUCCUUCAUUUAUGCGCCGGUUAAGUUAUUGCUUGGUUUGCUCUUGUUAUUAAUGAAUUCUUACUAUUUAUAUGAGCAUCUUACAUGACAAAUGCAGAUUGCUACUUACUUUGUCUAGGUAUAUUCACAAGGUCAUUUUUCUUAAAAGUUGAAUUGUUCCCUCUAAAUGAAGGCUUAUUCAACCUAUAGGAAUAAGUUUUUAAAAGUUGAAUUGUUCCCUAGCCUGAAGCAAAUCUCUUUCCUGUUUGAACUCUACAGGAAUGAGCAGUAAUGAGGCUUGAAGGUGAUACAGUUAUCGACUUGAAAUUGUAGUCGGAUAAAGUAUUUGAUUAUUUGCCUCCACAUUUGAUUCGUAUAUAUUAGUUUAACAAAUACAUAAUUGAAAGUGAAGGAUCUGACCUAUAACUGACGCCUAAUGGUAGGCAUUUAAAGGAAUCUGAAAUUGUAACUAACUUUCUUUUGUACGAAAGAAUUCAAAUACAUAAAUGUGCAGAUGCAGCGAGGCUUUUUCAGAAACAAAUAUGAUUCUUACUGUUAAAAUAUCCUCUACCUGGCAGACAUCUAAGGAAGUGUACUCAUUUGAAUUCUGAUUUUGCUUUUUCUCAGGGUUGUUUCAUGUUCUAAAGAGUGUCAUCUGCAAUGCGAUAGCUUUAGAGAGAUGAAAGUCCAAUUAUGCUAGAUUAUCAGUUUUUUUGCAAGGAUGCUAGAAUAUCACUUUGACUUGUUUGGUACUGUCCAAUGCCAAUAGUGGCAAUGAAGACAACUCUUUAUACAUCAUCAGAGGAAAUGCUGACUCCAUUAUUUGUGAUAGAAAAUGUUAAACAUGGUGGAAGCAGGGGAGUAGAAUGUGGAGCAAAUAUAAAUAUAUUUUGAAGCUAGGCAGGACAUGAGGGUGCUCAUACAAAUUUCUAUACUCUAGCUAGCGCUGGAAUGGUCCUACUUCUUUCAUUUACAACAUAUCAGCUUGGUUUCCCAUUUGGACUUAAAACUGUAAAUAUGGCAAGCAUGUAGAUAAAGUUGAUCCUACAUGCAUGCCACAACUUAUCAGACAUACCGUCUGCAUACUCUGAUUGUACAUUCAUGUCCAUACAGGGGAGUAAGUUCGGUAAAUUCAUCUUAGUGAACAGAACAUUUGUGCAUUUCAUUCAAUUUUUUGUUUUGUGGUGAUGAGAAGACUAUGUCAUUUGUUAUUCUUCUAUAAGAAAAUAAUUUGUUAUUCUUGUGU